AUACGUAGGGGGCGAGCGUUGUCCGGAUUUAUUGGGUUUAAAGGGAGCGCAGGCGGAGAUGCAAGCGUGACGUCAAAUUUCGGGGCUCAACCCCGUCUCGCGUCGCGAACUGCGUCCCUUGGUUGCGGGAAGGGGAGGCGGAACUCGUGGUGUAGCGGUGAAAUGCAUAGAUAUCACGAAGAACUCCGAUCGCGAAGGCAGCCUUCCGGCCCGUCAACGACGCUCAUGCUCGAAGGUGCGGGUAUCAAACAGGAUUAGAUACCCUGGUAGUCCGCACAGUAAACGAUGGACACCCGCGGUUUGGCCUGUAUGGCUGAGCCGCCAAGCGAAAGCGUUAAGUGUCCCACCUGGGGAGUACGCCGGCAACGGUGAAACUUAAAGGAAUUGACGGGG
Molecule: ribosomal RNA, 393 nt
Filed under: uncultured bacterium
Lineage: Bacteria
Description: partial 16S ribosomal RNA
Rfam family: Bacterial small subunit ribosomal RNA
Source: RNAcentral